Molecule: long non-coding RNA, 269 nt
Filed under: Capsicum annuum
Lineage: Eukaryota; Viridiplantae; Streptophyta; Magnoliopsida; Solanales; Solanaceae
Description: long non-coding RNA (CANN_LNC007726)
Source: RNAcentral
CCAAUGGACCGAAACCUCGACUUUUAACCCGAUAAUCCUGGAACCGAACUCGGUAAUAGACAAAUCCGGUGACUCAAACUGAGAAUUGCAAAAAAAGGGAUCCCUUUCUCGAUUCCACUUCUCUCCCCAAUAUUCUUUAUCUUUCUUUCUAUUUUCCUUUCUCUGUUUCUCUUCUCUCUUUGAUUAUUUGCCUCUCAAUCUCUCUGUGAGUAUGUGCGAUUCCGGUGGUGGGUGCGUACAAUAGGAACCAUGGUUAUCUGUGUUUGCAU